RNAcentral lists this non-coding RNA (21 nucleotides) under Arabidopsis thaliana (thale cress). The record is from RNAcentral. RNAcentral also lists the same sequence under 2 other names. Lineage: Eukaryota; Viridiplantae; Streptophyta; Magnoliopsida; Brassicales; Brassicaceae.
AACCAUCUAGUAGCUGGUUCC